Molecule: long non-coding RNA, 641 nt
Filed under: Mytilus galloprovincialis (Mediterranean mussel)
Lineage: Eukaryota; Metazoa; Mollusca; Bivalvia; Mytilida; Mytilidae
Source: RNAcentral
UGAUAUCCUGUUAAAAAUAUUGAUGUAUUAUAAAUCCUGUUUCUAAAUUUAACAUGCAAGAUGCUAUAGACCCCAUUUUGUUAUAGAGGGAUCGCCCUUGCAUUAGUGUCUUACAAGUCUUACAAAUUGAGAACAAUAGACCAAUUAUCUACUCUUACUGAUUUGAUAGAAAAACACUUCCUUAAUCAACGUUUUGCAGCUUUAUUAAUUUUUAAAAGGCUUACAACACUUUGGAAAGAGAUAUUUUAACUAAAUAUGAUUGGUGUUGUCCAGACUUUUUGUUCUGAUAUUACGUCAAUUUAUACAAAUGUUUUAUGUUCUGUAGAAAUAAAUGGUCAUUUCACAGACUGGUUUGAUGUAAACUGUGGCUUGAAACAAGGAUGUCCCUUGUUGCCGAUUUUGUUUAACUUGUAUUUUAAUGAUUUAAUUAGAUUUCUUGAGUCCUUUGACUGCUGAAUAGAAAUUGGUAUUGAAAAACUAAUUUAUUCUAUGCUGAUGUCAUUAUUAUGGCAAACUAUGAAAAGUGCUACAACUUUUGUUAAAUGCUUUGUCUACAUGUGAAGACAACUGCAUGCAUGACAAUUAAUACAACAAAGUGCUAUGGUGUACAAUUUUGACUACCAUCUAUACCUAGAUGUGAU